Molecule: ribosomal RNA, 465 nt
Filed under: Vreelandella stevensii
Lineage: Bacteria; Pseudomonadati; Pseudomonadota; Gammaproteobacteria; Oceanospirillales; Halomonadaceae
Description: partial 16S ribosomal RNA
Rfam family: Bacterial small subunit ribosomal RNA
Source: RNAcentral
CCUACGGGUGGCUGCAGUGGGGAAUAUUGGACAAUGGGCGAAAGCCUGAUCCAGCCAUGCCGCGUGUGUGAAGAAGGCCUUCGGGUUGUAAAGCACUUUCAGUGGGGAAGAAAGCCUUGGGGCUAAUACCCUCGAGGAAGGACAUCACCCACAGAAGAAGCACCGGCUAACUCCGUGCCAGCAGCCGCGGUAAUACGGAGGGUGCGAGCGUUAAUCGGAAUUACUGGGCGUAAAGCGCGCGUAGGCGGUCUGAUAAGCCGGUUGUGAAAGCCCCGGGCUCAACCUGGGAACGGCAUCCGGAACUGUCAGGCUAGAGUGCAGGAGAGGAAGGUAGAAUUCCCGGUGUAGCGGUGAAAUGCGUAGAGAUCGGGAGGAAUACCAGUGGCGAAUGCGGCCUUCUGGACUGACACUGACGCUGAGGUGCGAAAGCGUGGGUAGCAAACAGGAUUAGAUACCCGAGUAGUC